This 253-nucleotide ribosomal RNA is filed under the name uncultured bacterium. RNAcentral describes it as "partial 16S ribosomal RNA". It matches the Rfam family "Bacterial small subunit ribosomal RNA", at positions 524 to 776 of the family's 1533-position model. The record is from RNAcentral.
GACGGAGGAUGCAAGUGUUAUCCGGAAUCACUGGGCGUAAAGCGUCUGUAGGUGGUUUAAUAAGUCAACUGUUAAAUCUUGAGGCUCAACCUCAAAAUCGCAGUCGAAACUAUUAGGCUAGAGUAUGGUAGGGGUAAAGGGAAUUUCCAGUGGAGCGGUGAAAUGCGUAGAGAUUGGAAAGAACACCGAUGGCGAAGGCACUUUACUGGGCUAUUACUAACACUCAGAGACGAAAGCUAGGGUAGCAAAUGGG